This 737-nucleotide long non-coding RNA is filed under the name Phasianus colchicus (ring-necked pheasant). RNAcentral describes it as "lncRNA (ENSPCLG00000000936.1)". Lineage: Eukaryota; Metazoa; Chordata; Aves; Galliformes; Phasianidae. The record is from RNAcentral.
CUUUGAUUUACACCACAGAGUGGUCAUAGAGCAUACGUGCCAGGUUCACUUCAGAAAAAACUAAACUGGAAGAUAAAUCUCAGAGACAAAUUUUAAGUGCACUGACUGCUCGUGGGCAUUCGGUUCAUAGAAAUUGAUUAAUGAAGUCCAAAUGAAAACCUCCCAAAUGUUUGGACACUUGGUCCUCAGCAUCAGCAGAUGGAUACAGAGGAGAGUGCUUGAAUGAUGAGAGAAGCCCAUUUUAUCAUAUCAGAAACAACUGGUUUGGUAAUUAGAUCAGAGGAUAUGAUUCAUGGAUAAACAACAGGAAGAGAAAAGAACUACCAAGUCACAAAACAAAGCGACACAAAAACAAGAAGACAUCAGAUAGACUUUUGGAAGAUGGAAGCACUGAUGUCACAGCAGUCGGAAACAUAAGAUAUAGACGUUCUUCUGCAGAAAAGGAGCCUCCCCUUUCAUCCGUCAUCUGGCCCUCAUUGUAGAGCAGCAGAGCAGCAGCUAGGAUGUCAGCUUCUCAUUACAAGGCCAUUCCAGCUUUCCUGCAGGCUGCAAAGGUCUGACUUGUCAAAUGUAAAAAUAGAAAACUGAAUUCCCUGGAUGGAGAAUACAGCUAGAGUUUGAGGCAGUAGGAUAUUUAACUUGUUUUUCUAUCAAUUAGAUAGAUUUCUUAGACCACAUAUACCCUUCAAACUCUCUAAAAUUAAAAACAUUAAAAUCUUAAUUGGUAACCAGCCCUU